This is a non-coding RNA of Lemur catta (Ring-tailed lemur), 657 nucleotides long. Lineage: Eukaryota; Metazoa; Chordata; Mammalia; Primates; Lemuridae. The record is from the annotation of a RefSeq genome assembly.
AUGGAGAACUUCAAAAAGGCCUGGGCAGCCCAGCCCAGCACGCGGGUUCAAGAGGGGCAUCGUGGUCCAGGGGCAGCUCCUGAGCCUGUGUCAUCCUCCUCUGGAUCAUACCUCCAAGCAUCCAAGCCCUGGUCCCUGUCCCAGCUCCCACGAGUGUCUGUGUUUGCAGGUUCCCUGUCCCAGCCUGUGCUGACUCAGCUGCCCUCCCUCUCUGCAUCCCUGGGAUCAUCGGCCAGACUCACCUGCACCCUGAGCAGUGGCUUCAGUGUUGGUAGCUACAGCGUACGCUGGUACCAGCAGAAGCCAGGGAGCCCUCCCCGGUACCUCCUGAGCUACUACUCAGAGUCAAGUAAGCACCAUGGCUCCGGGGUCCCCAGCCGCUUCUCUGGCUCCAAAGAUGCCUCGGCCAACGCAGGGAUCCUGCACAUCUCUGGGCUGCAGUCUGAGGACGAGGCUGACUAUUACUGUAAUAUAUGGGAUGGCAGCUCUAAGACUUACACAGUGAUCGAGACACACGGCGAAGUGCUGUGCUCACUCAGCGGCCCGUCAUCUGGGAGUAACAUCACCCCCUCCUGCACUGGAGUGAGCUGCAGAGUUGGGGGAACACGAUGUUCUGGCCCCACCAGCUCCGACGAGAAGGCCCAGGGAACCCAGUGA